The submitters of this non-coding RNA (64 nucleotides) gave its source as unclassified sequences. The record is from Rfam.
GGUCAGCUGAUCAGACCUUAAAAAGUCGGUUCGUGGCGGUCGGUUACACGCCUAAAACAACCUA